UGCGGAAUUUUAGAUAAUGGAGGGAACUCUGAUCUAGCGACGCCGCGUGUAGGAAGAAGGUCUUCGGAUUGUAAACUGCUGUGGUAAGGGAAAAAUGCUAUGUAGAGUGGAAAGCUACAUAGAGGGAUGGUACCUUACUAGAAAGCCCCGGCUAACUACGUGCCAGCAGCCGCGGUAAUACAUAGGGGGCGAGCGUUACCCGGAAUCACUGGGCGGAAAGGGAGCGUAGGUGGCCUAACAUGUCAACUGUGAACACCCGGAGCUCAACUCCGGACUUGCAGUUGAAACUGGUAGGCUUGAGGACGGUAGAUGAAGACGGAACUGCCAGUGUAGGGGUAAAAUCCUUAGAUAUUGGCAGGAACGCCGGUGACGAAGGUGGUUUUCUGGGCCGGUUCUGACACUGAUGCUCGAAAGCCAGGGGAGCGAACGG
This 430-nucleotide ribosomal RNA is filed under the name uncultured bacterium. RNAcentral describes it as "bacterial SSU rRNA". It matches the Rfam family "Bacterial small subunit ribosomal RNA", at positions 355 to 775 of the family's 1533-position model. The record is from RNAcentral.